GAUGAACGCUGGCGACGUGCCUAAUACAUGCCAGUCGAGCGAACAGACGAGGAGCUUGCUCCUCUGACGUUAGCGGCGGACGGGUGAGUAACACGUGGAUAACCUACCUAUAAGACUGGGAUAACUUCGGGAAACCGGAGCUAAUACCGGAUAAUAUAUUGAACCGCAUGGUUCAAUAGUGAAAGACGGUUUUGCUGUCACUUAUAGAUGGAUCCGCGCCGCAUUAGCUAGUUGGUAAGGUAACGGCUUACCAAGGCAACGAUGCGUAGCCGACCUGAGAGGGUGAUCGGCCACACUGGAACUGAGACACGGUCCAGACUCCUACGGGAGGCAGCAGUAGGGAAUCUUCCGCAAUGGGCGAAAGCCUGACGGAGCAACGCCGCGUGAGUGAUGAAGGUCUUCGGAUCGUAAAACUCUGUUAUUAGGGAAGAACAAAUGUGUAAGUAACUAUGCACGUCUUGACGGUACCUAAUCAGAAAGCCACGGCUAACUACGUG
This 497-nucleotide ribosomal RNA is filed under the name uncultured bacterium. RNAcentral describes it as "partial 16S ribosomal RNA". It matches the Rfam family "Bacterial small subunit ribosomal RNA", at positions 28 to 507 of the family's 1533-position model. The record is from RNAcentral.